GACGAACGCUGGCGGCGUGCUUAACACAUGCAAGUCGAACGGAAAGGCCCUGCUUUUGUGGGGUGCUCGAGUGGCGAACGGGUGAGUAACACGUGAGUAACCUGCCCUUGACUUUGGGAUAACUUCAGGAAACUGGGGCUAAUACCGGAUAGGAGCUCCUGCUGCAUUGUGGGGGUUGGAGAGUUUCGGCGGUUGGCGAUGGACUCGCGGCUUAUCAGCUUGUUGGUGGGGUAGUGGCUUACCAAGGCUUUGACGGGUAGCCGGCCUGAGAGGGUGACCGGCCACAUGGGGACUGAGAUACGGCCCAGACUCCUACGGGAGGCAGCAGUGGGGAAGAUUGCACAAUGGGCGGAAGCCUGAUGCAGCAACGCCGCGUGCGGGAUGACGGCCUUCGGGUUGUAAACCGCUUUCGCCUGUGACGAAGCGUGAGUGACGGUAAUGGGUAAAGAAGCACCGGCUAACUACGUG
This 468-nucleotide ribosomal RNA is filed under the name uncultured bacterium. RNAcentral's name for it is "partial 16S ribosomal RNA". It matches the Rfam family "Bacterial small subunit ribosomal RNA", at positions 28 to 507 of the family's 1533-position model. The record is from RNAcentral.